Molecule: transfer RNA, 92 nt
Filed under: Myxococcales bacterium
Lineage: Bacteria; Pseudomonadati; Myxococcota; Myxococcia; Myxococcales
Description: tRNA-Ser
Rfam family: tRNA
About the family: Transfer RNA (tRNA) molecules are approximately 80 nucleotides in length. Their secondary structure includes four short double-helical elements and three loops (D, anti-codon, and T loops).
Source: RNAcentral
GGACAGCUGGCAGAGUUUGGCUGAAUGCGCCUGAUUCGAAAUCAGGUAGGCUCGCAAGGGUCUCGGGGGUUCGAAUCCCUCGCUGUCCGCCA